RNAcentral lists this ribosomal RNA (354 nucleotides) under Streptomyces variabilis. RNAcentral describes it as "bacterial SSU rRNA". It matches the Rfam family "Bacterial small subunit ribosomal RNA", at positions 28 to 383 of the family's 1533-position model. The record is from RNAcentral. Lineage: Bacteria; Bacillati; Actinomycetota; Actinomycetes; Kitasatosporales; Streptomycetaceae.
GACGAACGCUGGCGGCGUGCUUAACACAUGCAAGUCGAACGAUGAACCUCCUUCGGGAGGGGAUUAGUGGCGAACGGGUGAGUAACACGUGGGCAAUCUGCCCUGCACUCUGGGACAAGCCCUGGAAACGGGGUCUAAUACCGGAUACUGACCCGCUUGGGCAUCCAAGCGGUUCGAAAGCUCCGGCGGUGCAGGAUGAGCCCGCGGCCUAUCAGCUUGUUGGUGAGGUAAUGGCUCACCAAGGCGACGACGGGUAGCCGGCCUGAGAGGGCGACCGGCCACACUGGGACUGAGACACGGCCCCAGACUCCUACGGGAGGCAGCAGUGGGGAAUAUUGCACAAUGGCGAAAGCC